Molecule: ribosomal RNA, 769 nt
Filed under: uncultured bacterium
Lineage: Bacteria
Description: bacterial SSU rRNA
Rfam family: Bacterial small subunit ribosomal RNA
Source: RNAcentral
AGAGUUUGAUCAUGGCUCAGAAUCAACGCUGGCGGCGCGCUUAACACAUGCAAGUCGCACGAGAAAGUGGAGCAAUCCAUGAGUAAAGUGGCGCACGGGUGAGUAACACGUGGAUCAUCUACCUUUUAGUGGGGAAUACCUCUGGGAAACCGGAGAUAAUACCGCAUAAGCUCGUAAGAGGAAAGCGUCGUCCUUAAAAAACGACGCGCUGAAAGAGGAGUCCGCGGCUGAUUAGCUAGUUGGCGGGGUAACGGCCCACCAAGGCGAAGAUCGGUAGCCGGCCUGAGAGGGCACACGGCCACACUGGCACUGAAACACGGGCCAGACUCCUACGGGAGGCAGCAGUGGGGAAUCUUGCACAAUGGAGGAAACUCUGAUGCAGCGACGCCGCGUGAGCGAUGAAGCCCUUCGGGGUGUAAAGCUCUUUCGACGGGAACGAUAAUGACGGUACCCGGAGAAGAAGCUGCGGCUAACUACGUGCCAGCAGCCGCGGUAAUACGUAGGCAGCGAGCGUUGUUCGGAAUUACUGGGCGUAAAGAGUGUGUAGGCGGUGCUCCAAGUCUGUUGUGAAAUCUCCCGGCUUAACUGGGAGGGUGCAGCGGAAACUGGAAUGCUUGAGGGUGGGAGAGGUAAGCGGAAUUCCUGGUGUAGCGGUGAAAUGCGUAGACAUCAGGAGGAACACCUGUGGUGUAGACAGCUUACUGGACCACUUCUGACGCUGAGACACGAAAGCGUGGGUAGCAAACAGGAUUAGAUACCCCAGUAGUCC